RNAcentral lists this ribosomal RNA (345 nucleotides) under Acalymma innubum. Its description in RNAcentral is "partial 12S ribosomal RNA". Lineage: Eukaryota; Metazoa; Arthropoda; Insecta; Coleoptera; Chrysomelidae. The record is from RNAcentral.
AUAAAUGUAAUUAAUUUAUUAAAUUAUUAUAAGCUAUGAUCUUUAAAUUUAAAAAAUUUGGCGGUAUUUUAGUCUUUUUAGAGGAACCUGUUUUAUAAAUGAUAAUCCACGAUUUUAUAAACUUUUAUUAUUAGCUUGUAUAUCUUCGUUAUAAAAUAUUUUUUUAGAAUAAUAAUAUUUAAAAUAUUUUUAAAAUAAUUAAUCAGAUCAAGGUGCAGUUUAUAUAAAAGGAAAAAUGGGUUACAAAAAAUUUAUUUUUGGAUUUUUAAUUUUAUAUUAAAAUGAAAGUGGAUUUAAAUGUAAUAAUAAUUUAUUAAUUAAUAUGAUUUUAGCUCUAAGAUAUGU